RNAcentral lists this ribosomal RNA (1409 nucleotides) under uncultured bacterium. RNAcentral's name for it is "bacterial SSU rRNA". It matches the Rfam family "Bacterial small subunit ribosomal RNA". The record is from RNAcentral.
AGAGUUUGAUCCUGGCUCAGGAUGAACGCUAGCUACAGGCUUAACACAUGCAAGUCGAGGGGCAGCGAUGAAGAAAGCUUGCUUUCUUCAGGCGGCGACCGGCGCACGGGUGAGUAACGCGUAUCGAACCUGCCUCAUACUCAGGAAUAGCCUUGCGAAAGUAAGAUUAAUGCCCGAUGUUAUUAGGAUAUCACAUGAUGUUUUAAUUAAAGAUUUAUCGGUAUGAGAUGGCGAUGCGUCCCAUUAGCUUGUUGGCGGGGUAACGGCCCACCAAGGCAUCGAUGGGUAGGGGUUCUGAGAGGAAGGUCCCCCACAUUGGAACUGAGACACGGUCCAAACUCCUACGGGAGGCAGCAGUGAGGAAUAUUGGUCAAUGGACGCAAGUCUGAACCAGCCAAGUAGCGUGCAGGAAGACGGCCCUCUGGGUUGUAAACUGCUUUUAGUUGGGAAUAAAGUGCACCACGAGUGGUGUUUUGUAUGUACCAUCAGAAAAAGGACCGGCUAAUUCCGUGCCAGCAGCCGCGGUAAUACGGAAGGUCCAGGCGUUAUCCGGAUUUAUUGGGUUUAAAGGGAGCGCAGGCGGACCUUUAAGUCAGCUGUGAAAUACGGCGGCUCAACCGUCGAACUGCAGUUGAUACUGGAGGUCUUGAGUGCACACAGGGAUACUGGAAUUCAUGGUGUAGCGGUGAAAUGCUCAGAUAUCAUGAAGAACUCCAAUCGCGAAGGCAGGUAUCCGGGGUGCAACUGACGCUGAGGCUCGAAAGUGCGGGUAUCAAACAGGAUUAGAUACCCUGGUAGUCCGCACAGUAAACGAUGAAUACUCGCGAUUUGCGAUACACAGUAAGUCGCCAAGCGAAAGCGUUAAGUAUUCCACCUGGGGAGUACGCCGGCAACGGUGAAACUCAAAGGAAUUGACGGGGGCCCGCACAAGCGGAGGAACAUGUGGUUUAAUUCGAUGAUACGCGAGGAACCUUACCCGGGCUUGAACUGCCAGUGACGGUAGCAGAGACCCUACUUUCUUUCGGAACCUGGGUGGAGGUGCUCCAUGGGUUGUCGCCAACUCCUGCCCCGGAGGGGGUCGGGCUUAAAGUGCAUAAACAAGGCGAACCCCUCAUUUUCUUUUUGCCAUCAAGGGGGAUCUGGGGCACUCCCGGGGAUACUGCCAUCGUAAGAUGUGAGGAAGGUGGGGAUGACGUCAAAUCAGCACGGCCCUUACGUCCGGGGCUACACACGUGUUACAAUGGGCGGUACAGAGGGCAGCCACCUAGUGAUAGGGAGCCAAUCCUCAAAGCCGUUCUCAGUUCGGACUGGAGUCUGCAACCCGACUCCACGAAGCUGGAUUCGCUAGUAAUCGCGCAUCAGCCAUGGCGCGGUGAAUACGUUCCCGGGCCUUGUACACACCGCCCGUC